GAGCACUAACAUUCUUGUGUGCUGAAUUGUGAUAGCCGUCAAAGGCAGCAAAUAGACUGAAUGAAAGAUGAGCUUCUGCCUUUAUAUCCUUCUCUCCUGCUACCCAACUCAUUGUGGUGAAGGAAAAAGAAAACGCGGGUGGAGACUGCACUAUAUGCUUAGGACUGAAAUGCAACUGCAGAAGCAACAUGUGACCUUUUAGAGAUGCUUGUGGGACUGCAUAAAGUGAAGAGGGAAACUGGAAAAAAACAAUGAA
RNAcentral lists this small RNA (256 nucleotides) under Pan troglodytes (chimpanzee). Its description in RNAcentral is "processed transcript". Lineage: Eukaryota; Metazoa; Chordata; Mammalia; Primates; Hominidae. The record is from RNAcentral.